Molecule: ribosomal RNA, 253 nt
Filed under: uncultured bacterium
Lineage: Bacteria
Description: partial 16S ribosomal RNA
Rfam family: Bacterial small subunit ribosomal RNA
Source: RNAcentral
UACGAAGGGGGCUAGCGUUGCUCGGAAUCACUGGGCGUAAAGGGUGCGUAGGCGGGUCUUUAAGUCAGGGGUGAAAUCCUGGAGCUCAACUCCAGAACUGCCUUUGAUACUGAGGAUCUUGAGUUCGGGAGAGGUGAGUGGAACUGCGAGUGUAGAGGUGAAAUUCGUAGAUAUUCGGAAGAACACCAGUGGCGAAGGCGGCUCACUGGACCGGCAUUGACACUGAUGUGCGAAAGCGUGGGGAGCAAACAGG